This 406-nucleotide ribosomal RNA is filed under the name uncultured bacterium. RNAcentral describes it as "partial 16S ribosomal RNA". It matches the Rfam family "Bacterial small subunit ribosomal RNA", at positions 30 to 526 of the family's 1533-position model. The record is from RNAcentral.
AUUGAACGCUGGCGGCAGGCCUAACACAUGCAAGUCGAGCGAGCGGCGGACGGGUGAGUAAUGUAUGGGGAUCUGCCAGAUAGAGGGGGAUAACUACUGGAAACGGUGGCUAAUACCGCAUACUAUCGGAUGCGCCCAGAUGGGAUUAGCUAGUAGGUGGGGUAAUGGCUCACCUAGGCGACUAUCCCUAGCUGGUCUGAGAGGAUGAUCAGCCACACUGGAACUGAGACACGGUCCAGACUCCUACGGGAGGCAGCAGUGGGGAAUAUUGCACAAUGGGCGCAAGCCUGAUGCAGCCAUGCCGCGUGUAUGAAGAAGGCCUUCGGGUUGUAAAGUACUUUCAGCGGGGAGGCGUUACCCGCAGAAGAAGCACCGGCUAACUCCGUGCCAGCAGCCGCGGUAAUUC